UGAAGAGGUGAUGUGCUAGAUACCCCC
This 27-nucleotide non-coding RNA is filed under the name Homo sapiens (human). Lineage: Eukaryota; Metazoa; Chordata; Mammalia; Primates; Hominidae. The record is from RNAcentral.